Culex pipiens pallens (northern house mosquito) is the source of this 2577-nucleotide long non-coding RNA. RefSeq lists it as uncharacterized. NCBI's taxonomy places the organism in Eukaryota, Metazoa, Arthropoda, Insecta, Diptera, Culicidae. The record is from RefSeq and is a predicted model, not a curated record. The transcript has 5 exons.
ACGGAGGAUCGGCAUUACACUUUUUGCAGUUCGAUUUUACACCACCGACUAGUUUCAACCCUCGAACUGAAAAAAGUGUAAAGUGCGAACUGCAAAAAGUGUAAAAGUUACAUCUUUGCCAGUUCAGGGGUCCGAACUGAAAAAGGUGUAACUUUUGGACUUAGAAUAAUUUCGAGAUUUUUGUCCGCUGUCAAAUCGGGACUUAGUGCAAUUUUGGAGUUGGUGGCAAGAGUAGGUGCUGAGUGAUGCCGGCUUGACCGCUGCUUCGUUGCAGAAUCCGAUGUGCCCUACUCCAACGGACAGUGAUAGCGAGCAGGGUUCGUUGGAGGACUUCCUGGAGCAGUGUCUAGCUCCGUGUUGCUGGGAGAUUUGGAAGACGACGAAGACGUGAAGGAUUAGAACGACGACGAUUCCAUCAUGUACCGAGAGGUGUCGGACAGGUGUCCGCGAGGACUUUGGCAGUGGCGAAGAAGGUCGUGUGACGUCCGUUGCGGUGUCGAUGUACUCCCAGCGAAGUGGCGAAUCAACGCUUUCACCAUGCUUACCACACAUUGGAAGACGUCCUGCAGCUGUUAGGCCAGUUUAACUCCAAACCCUGGCCUCGUCACCUUCCAACAACGCCAAGAACCUCGAAAGUAUCUCAAACGUGCUCAUCCACGUUGAUGAAAAGGAAGAUCAGCUGAAGAAGCAGAUCAUGGAUCCGCUCGUACUAACCAGAGCUGUCCGUUCCUGUUUUCGUUCGAAACGCGCCAACUGUACUUUAACUGCACGGUCUUUGGCACCUCGCGGAGUUUGGCUGCAGUCCCAGCGGGAUGUCAACCUGGAGAGGCAAUACGCUCCCGGGUUUAGUCCACGCCACGCCGACCAGCACGAAUUCCGCGUGUGUCGUCUAUAGCACGAACGUGUCAUGGUACCGCGCAGAGAAAAUCUACUCGAGUGGGCCCAGCAGGUCAUAAGGCCGUGCUGGAGGUAGAGUUCCAGGCUGAGGAAGAAACCGGUCUUGAACCAACGUUGGAGUUUCACGCUAUGGUUGCGUCCGAGCUUCAUCGAAGUGACCUGGGAAUGUGGCUGUGUGAAGCUGAUCAAGUUUCAGUUAUAAACCGUUCUUCCAUCUUCCAGUUGACGUCACAAUCAACAACUUGACGAUCAACUUCUGCCUGCAGGAGAGCAUCGGCAAGCAGCUGGCCGCGUUCCACUGCAGCUUCUCGAAGUGUUUCCGCUGAGGUGAUCCGGAACAUGCUGUGCGGCGAGCAGAACCCUGAGUGGACCCGGGAGGACAUUAUAACCUACACGAAAUCAUGCAAGUCAUCCAGCAAAAUUUCGUGGCAGCCAGCAAACGGUUGGUGUUUGAGAACCUGAUUGCACUCCCGGUGCAAUUUAUUUCGCCGACUCCGGUCCUGUAACGCUAGAGCAUCCGGUAGCCCAGCAGAACGAUCCGACGUUUUCGUCCGGAACGAAAGCCUAAGGUCGCGAAGACCGCCACCAGCGAAGAUAGGAAAAAGGGCACCAAGUCCACGAAGUCAGCGUGGCAUUAUCGGCACUCCUCGGGUGGAGUACAAAUCGGAAAGAAGCUCCCUUCCAAUCUUUGUCCGUCCUCCGGAGUUGGACACGUGCUGCCAGACCGACCUGUUUCUGUACAUAGCUCCGUCGUCGCAAUACCGCGAUCAUCGAGGAUGUCAAGUAGCUGACAGGAUCCUCGGCUCUGUAUCGUAUUCCUUAAGAGUUGAGCUAAAAUGUGUCCACAUCCUUUGGAUCGAUCCCGAACCCUUAGUAUUUUCCCGCAGACGGAUGCGUGCUUCCAGACGGACCUGCUACUACACCCCGGACCUCCGUAACGUUAACAACCUGCUUGUCGUUGAUGCUGUUUGCCGGGAGUAUUCGCUACGUUCCCGAGAACAUAAUCUGCAUCGAAAUUGUCCCGCACGAAUUACUGGGCAUCAACUUCCUUGAUAGGACGCUGGUGUGCGUUCGGAACCGGCCAGAAAGGUUCGCUUACAAUGUCGUUCAAUUAGGUAUUCUUCUGAUGCUGACGGACUGAAAGAAAAGCGCGCGUUCCGCAAGUUUCCACAUCGCCGCGGGGACCUGACCGAGCUGCUGUGGUCAGUUCCGCCUACAACGUACCUACAACGAUAACUGGACCAUGGCGCAGUCCGCUGCCGAAAACGGCAGCAGGUUGAACAGACCUUCCGGUUCGUGGCAGACAGCAAAUCGGAAAUGAUUCGCGUUGACUUCGCAACACCAAAGCUGGUUCCGGCUGGACCAAGACCAAGGUUCAUUUAGAUGGAGGCUUGAGGUUGCUCCAAAAAGCAAACAAGUUGGGACCGGUGGGCGGAACAUUUAACUUGGAACAGCGGUAUUAGCUCGGAAACAUCAAUUAUUUUUAUUAUUAUAUUGUGAAAGCAGUCUUUUUUCAUUUAUUUAUUGUACAGAAUUUUUGAAUAAAUAAACACAUUGUCCAAUCUUAUACUUUAGUUUAAAUUUAAUAUCUCUUAAUAAGAAUCCCAAAGAAAAUUCAAAAACGCCCAAAUAUAGGCAGCAGGCAUUUUUUCACCCGGUGAAACAUUUCAAUUUCAAUUU